GACGAGGGGUCCUAGCGUUGUUCGGAAUCACUGGGCGUAAAGCGUUUGUAGGCGGCCCUGUAAGUCGGGUGUGAAAUCCCAUGGCUCAACCAUGGAAGUGCAUUCGAAACUGCAGGGCUUGAAUAUGGAAGAGGAGAGUAGAAUUCCUGGUGUAGUGGUGAAAUACGUAGAUAUCAGGAGGAAUACCGGUGGCGAAGGCGGCUCUCUGGUCCAAUAUUGACGCUGAGAAACGAAAGUGCGGGGAUCAAACAGG
RNAcentral lists this ribosomal RNA (253 nucleotides) under uncultured bacterium. Its description in RNAcentral is "partial 16S ribosomal RNA". It matches the Rfam family "Bacterial small subunit ribosomal RNA", at positions 524 to 776 of the family's 1533-position model. The record is from RNAcentral.